UGCGUAGGGUGCAAGCGUUGUCCGGAAUUAUUGGGCGUAAAGAGCUCGUAGGCGGUUUGUCGCGUCUGCUGUGAAAACUCGGGGCUCAACUCCGAGCUUGCGGUGGGUACGGGCAGACUAGAGUGCGGUAGGGGAGACUGGAAUUCCUGGUGUAGCGGUGGAAUGCGCAGAUAUCAGGAGGAACACCGGUGGCGAAGGCGGGUCUCUGGGCCGUAACUGACGCUGAGGAGCGAAAGCAUGGGGAGCGAACAGG
This 253-nucleotide ribosomal RNA is filed under the name uncultured bacterium. Its description in RNAcentral is "partial 16S ribosomal RNA". It matches the Rfam family "Bacterial small subunit ribosomal RNA", at positions 524 to 776 of the family's 1533-position model. The record is from RNAcentral.